UACGGAGGAUCCAAGCGUUAUCCGGAUUUAUUGGGUUUAAAGGGUGCGUAGGCGGCCUGUUAAGUCAGGGGUGAAAGACGGUAGCUCAACUAUCGCAGUGCCCUUGAUACUGAUGGGCUUGAAUGAACUAGAGGUAGGCGGAAUGUGACAAGUAGCGGUGAAAUGCAUAGAGAUGUCGCAGAACACCGAUUGCGAAGGCAGCUCACUGAGCUAUGAUUGACGCUGAGGCUCGAAAGCGUGGGGAUCAAACGGG
This 253-nucleotide ribosomal RNA is filed under the name uncultured bacterium. Its description in RNAcentral is "partial 16S ribosomal RNA". It matches the Rfam family "Bacterial small subunit ribosomal RNA", at positions 524 to 776 of the family's 1533-position model. The record is from RNAcentral.